ACGAAGUCCAGCAUCAGGGAGCUUAGCCCAUGCGCACCGGCCACACGAGCAACAACUCGUCCACCUCAAUUCGAGGUACUACUAGGCCCACAGGCCAAACUUGGCCUCAACCAACCGCUCUCUCAACAGUGAUUCUACUUUCACUGUUCGAUCUACCGAAACAAUAUCCGAGAUGCUCAGGCCGCUCAGGUAUUCGCAACGUCACGGCGCAACUCUCGCAAUUCGAUACUCAUUGCCUUGAGAGUCGCUCCACCAUUUCAUGUUCACUACGAGUCCCAUUCUUCGUCCAAGAACCAUCCCUAGCGAUUUGCUAGUACCACUUGGCUCUCUACCUGCUCCAGCAGGCGUUACACUCUCAUGAUGCAAGCAUGCUCAGGUGCCUACCGACCCGUCCACUCGGUCCCUACUAUGCAAUAUGUAAUUAGUAGGUGCUGCUCAUAUAAUAAAUGCAUGCAAUGCAUCAACUCGAGAUUACGCAAAAGCAUAUGCUUAUUUAAUUAACUCAUACCUGCUACGGCAUCAUCGGUGGCAGCAGGUCCAUCAACCUGGGUCGCAUAUCCCUGGCCACUUGGUGCUCGCCGCGAACCCUCCGGUUGCAUCGUCCUCAACGGCCGCUCCCCCGACCAUGCCGCAGGUGGCACACCUGCAGGCUGUCCCAGAGAGGAAUGGGCCGUCGCCGGCAUCAAGGCCUGGCUCUCACCUUGCGGGCACUCGUCCCGCAUAUGGCCGGGCUGUCCACAACGGAUACACCGUCCAUCACGCAGCGCACAUCGCCGCGCC
RNAcentral lists this long non-coding RNA (780 nucleotides) under Ananas comosus (pineapple). Its description in RNAcentral is "long non-coding RNA (ACOM_LNC016621)". The record is from RNAcentral. Lineage: Eukaryota; Viridiplantae; Streptophyta; Magnoliopsida; Poales; Bromeliaceae.